RNAcentral lists this long non-coding RNA (639 nucleotides) under Nicotiana benthamiana. RNAcentral describes it as "long non-coding RNA (NBEN_LNC022856)". The record is from RNAcentral. Lineage: Eukaryota; Viridiplantae; Streptophyta; Magnoliopsida; Solanales; Solanaceae.
GAGGCUAAUUGAAAAACAAGCUCUGGGCGCCGCAAUAAAAAAAAAAACAAAUUUCUCGGCUCCUUCACAUUCAAAAGGCUGAGAGCUUCAUCAUCUUGAGCUUUCAGCUUCAGCAGCAAUAGCCAUUUUUCUGAAAAGAACCCAACAACCCUCCAACUCCUUCUUCUAACCUAGAGACCCACGAAAAACCAGUUGGAAUCCAGCCGAGGAACCAGUCAAGCAACAGCCCAGAUUUGCGGUCGAAAUCAGCUCCAAAAAACCUUAAACCAGCCAUGGACAUCACCUAAACUCCAAUCUCGAGUCAGAUCCGGCUGAAUACGAUACUUCUGGUCGCUUGUGCAUUUCCCGGCGAUUUUCAGUCCAAGACAACACUUGGACACAAAAAUUCCGGUCAAGCUCGAGUUUCGUUGAUAGGUUUCCCAUUCAAGAUCCGGUGGCGGUUUGGCCUUUGUUCUGGUUUUCUUUUGAUUUUUAGUUGCGGUUCAGGACGUAUCUCAUGUAUAUUGGUUCGCUGUAAGAUGCUGCUUGACUGUUGAAUUACACAUUACGUUAACAUUGGCAUCACUGCUGCAUUACAUAGCAGCUUACUAUUUUGUAGUAUUUAGCUAUUGGGUUCUUUAAUAAGGACUAGUUCGAUUU